GACGAACGCUGGCGGCGUGCUUAACACAUGCAAGUCGAACGGAAAGGCCCUGCUUUUGUGGGGUGCUCGAGUGGCGAACGGGUGAGUAACACGUGAGUAACCUGCCCUUGACUUUGGGAUAACUUCAGGAAACUGGGGCUAAUACCGGAUAGGAGCUCCUGCUGCAUGGUGGGGGUUGGAAAGUUUCGGCGGUUGGGGAUGGACUCGCGGCUUAUCAGCUUGUUGGUGGGGUAGUGGCUUACCAAGGCUUUGACGGGUAACCGGCCUGAGAGGGUGACCGGCCACAUUGGGACUGAGAUACGGCCCAGACUCCUACGGGGGGCAGCAGUGGGGAAUAUUGCACAAUGGGCGGAAGCCUGAUGCAGCAACGCCGCGUGCGGGAUGACGGCCUUCGGGUUGUAAACCGCUUUCGCCUGUGACGAAGCGUGAGUGACGGUAAUGGGUAAAGAAGCACCGGCUAACUACGUG
RNAcentral lists this ribosomal RNA (468 nucleotides) under uncultured bacterium. Its description in RNAcentral is "partial 16S ribosomal RNA". It matches the Rfam family "Bacterial small subunit ribosomal RNA", at positions 28 to 507 of the family's 1533-position model. The record is from RNAcentral.